CUGGGUUUUUGAAAUUUGGUAACUGAAGAAGUGGCACACUGAAUCUCCGGCACCAAGUCUGUAAGUAUUUAUGUUCCUCAUAUUACACUGUAUUAAGAUAUUACUGUAGAUAGAACUGAGACCAUAUCAUGACAUUAUAACUAGGGCAACCCUAAAAACUCUAGAAUACCGAGACUGUAGCUAGGCUAUGAUUCUGUGAAAAUAGAAACUUU
RNAcentral lists this long non-coding RNA (212 nucleotides) under Gossypium barbadense (sea-island cotton). Its description in RNAcentral is "long non-coding RNA (GBAR_LNC002148)". The record is from RNAcentral. Lineage: Eukaryota; Viridiplantae; Streptophyta; Magnoliopsida; Malvales; Malvaceae.